UAACUGCGAGUGAAGCGGGAAAAGCUCAAAUUUAAAAUCUGGCGGUCUCUGGCCGUCCGAGUUGUAAUCUAGAGAAGUAAUGCCCGCGCUGGACCGUGUACAAGUCUCCUGGGAUGGAGCGUCAUAGAGGGUGAGAAUCCCGUCUCUGACACGGACUACCAGGGCUUUUGUGGUAUGCUCUCAAAGAGUCGAGUUGUUUGGGAAUGCAGCUCAAAAUGGGUGGUAAAUUCCAUCUAAAGCUAAAUAUUGGCGAGAGACCGAUAGCGAACAAGUACCGUGAGGGAAAGAUGAAAAGAACUUUGGAAAGAGAGUUAAACAGUACGUGAAAUUGCUGAAAGGGAAACGCUUGAAGUCAGUCGCGUUGGCCAGGGAUCAGCCUCGCUCUUGCGUGGUGUACUUUCUGGUUGACGGGUCAGCAUCAAUUUUGACCGCUGGAAAAAGGCCUGAGGAAUGUGGCAGCUUCGGCUGUGUUAUAGCCUCUGGUCACAUACAGCGGUUGGGAUUGAGGAACUCAGCACGCCGCAAGGCCGGGUUUCGACCACGUUCGUGCUUAGGAUGCUGGCAUAAUGGCUUUAAGCGACCCGUCUUGAAACACGGACCAAGGAGUCUAACAUGCCUGCGAGUGUUUGGGUGGAAAACCCGAGCGCGUAAUGAAAGUGAAAGUUGAGAUCCCUGUCGUGGGGAGCAUCGACGCCCGGACCAGAACUUUUGGGACGGAUCCGCGGUAGAGCAUGUAUGUUGGGACCCGAAAGAUGGUGAACUAUGCCUGAAUAGGGUGAAGCCAGAGGAAACUCUGGUGGAGGCUCGUAGCGAUUCUGACGUGCAAAUCGAUCGUCAAAUUUGGGUA
RNAcentral lists this ribosomal RNA (847 nucleotides) under Chlorophyllum subrhacodes. RNAcentral describes it as "eukaryotic LSU rRNA". It matches the Rfam family "Eukaryotic large subunit ribosomal RNA", at positions 84 to 917 of the family's 3401-position model. The record is from RNAcentral. Lineage: Eukaryota; Fungi; Basidiomycota; Agaricomycetes; Agaricales; Agaricaceae.